Long non-coding RNA from Lutra lutra (Eurasian river otter), 967 nucleotides. RefSeq lists it as uncharacterized. The record is from RefSeq and is a predicted model, not a curated record. The transcript is spliced from 3 exons. Lineage: Eukaryota; Metazoa; Chordata; Mammalia; Carnivora; Mustelidae.
AAUAGUUCACCAACUUAACAUGUAUGCUGGAGGUUACUAGGCUUUGCUCUGACUGGAGAAGCUGCUCUGUCAGAGGGAAAGGACUUGAGGUGAUGAUCUCAAGCAAACAUCCAACAUCAUUUGCACAUGCGUUUUAAGAAUAUUGGUGACAACAGACACUGAGUAUCAGGACUGCAGAUGAAGAAUCCCGCCCAUUGGAUCAAGUGGCUACUGCUCUUGACUUUUAAUGCAUUAGUGAUGACUAAAAGGAUGGUGAGUGGUGUAAUUAUUUCUAACUGCAUAAGGAGAACUGAUGACAACUUGAGAUUUUACAUUUUCGACUCAUGACAGUCUGAAAACCAGAGAUCUAUGGUGGCCCUGAAAGAUUCAUUUCUUUAUAGUGACCCAUAACCAGAGUCAUACGCAGCAUGUUCCAGGCAAUGGGGGGAGGAAAAGGGGGAAGGUGAUUACAAAGUCUGACAAAAGGGGAAAACAUCUCUUACUCCAAAAGAACUGCAAGAUUUCACUCAUUUAUACCGGCAGACCCUCCAAGAAUACACGUGAGAAUGGACUCUAUGGAUUUUAGACCAAAGAGGAUAGAUUAUAACACUGCAUCUGGGUCAGUGUAUUGAUAUAGCUGCCCCUUCAUAAAUUCUGGGUUCAACAUAUUAGCCUGGGUUAUUUCUCUCAUCUCUUAUUAUCAGAAGUGAUCAAAUACAAACUUAUGUAGGCAGAUGUUUCUUUAAAUUUAUUUUCUCUUCCUUGUCGAAAUACUGUUUACCAUUCUUUAGAAUAUUGCAUUUUCUGUUGAUAUUUUCUCCUUAGUUUUGCUACUGAUUAUUUAUGGACAAGUCAGGCAAAUGACUAUACUUUCCACCUGUAUCAAGAACAGAAUGCUGGGGCACCUGGGUGGCUCAGAUGGUUAAGCAUCUGCCUUCAGCUCAGGUCACGAUCUCCAGGUCCUGGGAUACAGCUACACAUCGGGCUC